AGGGUUUGAUUCUGGCUCAGGACGAACGCUGGCGGCGUGCUUAAUACAUGCAAGUCGAACGGAGUUAAGGGUUUCGGCCUUUAACUUAGUGGCGAACGGGUGAGUAACGCGUGAAUAACCUGACUCAAAGAGGGGGAUAACAACGGGAAACUGUUGCUAAUACCGCAUGAGACCACAACACCGCAUGAUGAAGGGGUCAAAGAUUUAUCGCUUUGAGAGGGGUUCGCGUCCCAUUAGGUAGUUGGAGGGGUAACGGCCCACCAAGCCAACGAUGGGUAGCCGAGCUGAGAGGCUGAUCGGCCACACUGGAACUGAGACACGGUCCAG
Molecule: ribosomal RNA, 327 nt
Filed under: uncultured bacterium
Lineage: Bacteria
Description: bacterial SSU rRNA
Rfam family: Bacterial small subunit ribosomal RNA
Source: RNAcentral